RNAcentral lists this ribosomal RNA (253 nucleotides) under uncultured bacterium. RNAcentral describes it as "partial 16S ribosomal RNA". It matches the Rfam family "Bacterial small subunit ribosomal RNA", at positions 524 to 776 of the family's 1533-position model. The record is from RNAcentral.
UACGUAGGUGGCAAGCGUUGUCCGGAUUUAUUGGGUUUAAAGGGUGCGUAGGCGGUUCAUUAAGUCAGUGGUGAAAUACGGCAGCUUAACUGUCGAGGUGCCAUUGAUACUGGUGAACUUGAGUACUGAUGAGGUAGGCGGAAUGGACGGUGUAGCGGUGAAAUGCUUAGAGAUCGUCCAGAACACCGAUAGCGGAGGCAGCUUACUAAGGAGUAACUGACGCUGAGGCACGAAAGUGUGGGGAUCAAACAGG